Molecule: ribosomal RNA, 253 nt
Filed under: uncultured bacterium
Lineage: Bacteria
Description: partial 16S ribosomal RNA
Rfam family: Bacterial small subunit ribosomal RNA
Source: RNAcentral
UACGUAGGGUGCAAGCGUUGUCCGGAAUUAUUGGGCGUAAAGAGCUCGUAGGCGGUCUGUCGCGUCUGCUGUGAAAACUCAGGGCUUAACCCUGAGCUUGCAGUGGGUACGGGCAGACUAGAGUGCGGUAGGGGAGACUGGAAUUCCUGGUGUAGCGGUGAAAUGCGCAGAUAUCAGGAGGAACACCGGUGGCGAAGGCGGGUCUCUGGGCCGAUACUGACGCUCAUGUGCGAAAGCGUGGGGAGCAAACAGG